RNAcentral lists this ribosomal RNA (793 nucleotides) under Curtobacterium sp. RNAcentral describes it as "bacterial SSU rRNA". It matches the Rfam family "Bacterial small subunit ribosomal RNA", at positions 56 to 860 of the family's 1533-position model. Lineage: Bacteria; Bacillati; Actinomycetota; Actinomycetes; Micrococcales; Microbacteriaceae. The record is from RNAcentral.
UGCAGUCGAACGAUGAUGCCCAGCUUGCUGGGUGGAUUAGUGGCGAACGGGUGAGUAACACGUGAGUAACCUGCCCCUGACUCUGGGAUAAGCGUUGGAAACGACGUCUAAUACUGGAUAUGAUCACUGGCCGCAUGGUCUGGUGGUGGAAAGAUUUUUUGGUUGGGGAUGGACUCGCGGCCUAUCAGCUUGUUGGUGAGGUAAUGGCUCACCAAGGCGACGACGGGUAGCCGGCCUGAGAGGGUGACCGGCCACACUGGGACUGAGACACGGCCCAGACUCCUACGGGAGGCAGCAGUGGGGAAUAUUGCACAAUGGGCGAAAGCCUGAUGCAGCAACGCCGCGUGAGGGAUGACGGCCUUCGGGUUGUAAACCUCUUUUAGUAGGGAAGAAGCGAAAGUGACGGUACCUGCAGAAAAAGCACCGGCUAACUACGUGCCAGCAGCCGCGGUAAUACGUAGGGUGCAAGCGUUGUCCGGAAUUAUUGGGCGUAAAGAGCUCGUAGGCGGUUUGUCGCGUCUGCUGUGAAAUCCCGAGGCUCAACCUCGGGCUUGCAGUGGGUACGGGCAGACUAGAGUGCGGUAGGGGAGAUUGGAAUUCCUGGUGUAGCGGUGGAAUGCGCAGAUAUCAGGAGGAACACCGAUGGCGAAGGCAGAUCUCUGGGCCGUAACUGACGCUGAGGAGCGAAAGCAUGGGGAGCGAACAGGAUUAGAUACCCUGGUAGUCCAUGCCGUAAACGUUGGGCGCUAGAUGUACGGACCUUUCCACGGUUUCUGUGUCGUAGCUAACGCAU